RNAcentral lists this ribosomal RNA (182 nucleotides) under uncultured bacterium. RNAcentral describes it as "partial 16S ribosomal RNA". It matches the Rfam family "Bacterial small subunit ribosomal RNA", at positions 521 to 702 of the family's 1533-position model. The record is from RNAcentral.
UAAUACGUAGGGUGCGAGCGUUAAUCGGAAUUACUGGGCGUAAAGCGUGCGUAGGCGGUCCGCUGUGUCCCGUGUGAAAGCCCCGGGCUCAACCUGGGAAUUGCAUGGGAAACUGGCGGGCUUGAGUGCGGCAGAGGGGGGUGGAAUUCCGCGUGUAGCAGUGAAAUGCGUAGAGAUGCGGA